GCUAUACAUGCAAGUCGAACGCUUUGUGGUUCAACUGAUUUGAAGAGCUUGCUCAGAUAUGACGAUGGACAUUGCAAAGAGUGGCGAACGGGUGAGUAACACGUGGGAAACCUACCUCUUAGCAGGGGAUAACAUUUGGAAACAGAUGCUAAUACCGUAUAACAAUGACAACCGCAUGGUUGUUAUUUAAAAGAUGGUUCUGCUAUCACUAAGAGAUGGUCCCGCGGUGCAUUAGCUAGUUGGUAAGGUAAUGGCUUACCAAGGCGAUGAUGCAUAGCCGAGUUGAGAGACUGAUCGGCCACAAUGGGACUGAGACACGGCCCAUACUCCUACGGGAGGCAGCAGUAGGGAAUCUUCCACAAUGGGCGAAAGCCUGAUGGAGCAACGCCGCGUGUGUGAUGAAGGGUUUCGGCUCGUAAAACACUGUUGUAAGAGAAGAAUGACAUUGAGAGUAACUGUUCAAUGUGUGACGGUAUCUUACCAGAAAGGAACGGCUAAAUACGUGCCAGCAGCCGCGGUAAUACGUAUGUUCCAAGCGUUAUCGGGAUUUAUUGGGCGUAAAGCGAGCGCAGACGGUUAUUUAAGUCUGAAGUGAAAGCUCUCAGCUCAACUGAGGAAUUGCUUUGGAAACUGGAUGACUUGAGUGCAGUAGAGGAAAGUGGAACUCCAUGUGUAGCGGUGAAAUGCGUAGAUAUAUGGAAGAACACCAGUGGCGAAGGCGGCUUUCUGGACUGUAACUGACGUUGAGGCUCGAAAGUGUGGGUAGCAAACAGGAUUAGAUACCCUGGUAGUCCACACCGUAAACGAUGAGUGCUAGGUGUUUGAGGGUUUCCGCCCUUAAGUGCCGCAGCUAACGCAUUAAGCACUCCGCCUGGGGAGUACGACCGCAAGGUUGAAACUCAAAGGAAUUGACGGGGACCCGCACAAGCGGUGGAGCAUGUGGUUUAAUUCGAAGCAACGCGAAGAACCUUACCAGGUCUUGACAUCCCUUGACAACUCCAGAGAUGGAGCGUUCCCUUCGGGGACAAGGUGACAGGUGGUGCAUGGUUGUCGUCAGCUCGUGUCGUGAGAUGUUGGGUUAAGUCCCGCAACGAGCGCAACCCUUAUUACUAGUUGCCAGCAUUCAGUUGGGCACUCUAGUGAGACUGCCGGUGACAAACCGGAGGAAGGUGGGGAUGACGUCAAAUCAUCAUGCCCCUUAUGACCUGGGCUACACACGUGCUACAAUGGCGUAUACAACGAGUUGCCAACCCGCGAGGGUGAGCUAAUCUCUUAAAGUACGUCUCAGUUCGGAUUGUAGGCUGCAACUCGCCUACAUGAAGUCGGAAUCGCUAGUAAUCGCGGAUCAGCACGCCGCGGUGAAUACGUUCCCGGGUCUUGUACACACCGCCCGUCACACCAUGAGAGUUUGUAACACCCAAAGCCGGUGGGGUAACCUUCGGGAGCCAGCCGUCUAA
This 1457-nucleotide ribosomal RNA is filed under the name Weissella confusa. RNAcentral's name for it is "bacterial SSU rRNA". It matches the Rfam family "Bacterial small subunit ribosomal RNA". The record is from RNAcentral. Lineage: Bacteria; Bacillati; Bacillota; Bacilli; Lactobacillales; Lactobacillaceae.